Trachemys scripta elegans is the source of this 556-nucleotide non-coding RNA. Lineage: Eukaryota; Metazoa; Chordata; Testudines; Emydidae. The record is from the annotation of a RefSeq genome assembly.
GAGACACAAUCCGCAGCCCCUGGGUCUGUGCAGUGACCAGCCAGUCCCCUGAGAACUUUCUCCUCCAGCACCCUGGAAAAUGGGAUUUUUGCUCCUUGUAAUUUUUGCUGUAGCAGCUUUGGAAGGUGUCCGGUCCCAGGUGCAGCUGGUGGAGUCCGGAGGGGAUGUGAAAAAGCCCGGAGACUCUCUCCGCCUCUCCUGCAAAGCCUCCGGGUUCACCUUCAGCAGCUAUCGUAUGUACUGGAUCCGACAGGCUCCUGGCAAGGGACUAGAAUGGGUUGCUUAUAUAAGCGGCAGUAAGGUUAUUAUACGUUACCUUGAUUCAGUGAAAGGCCGAUUCACCAUCUCCAAAGAUAAUUCCAAGAGUGAGCUGUAUCUGCAAAUGACCGGCCUGAAGCCCGAGGACACCGCCCGCUAUUACUGUGCGAGACACAGUGAAACGAAACUGGUUUGUGAUCAUACAAAAACCCAGGCUGCAGAAUUGCCCUUCUCCUGGCAGCCGCACGGGGGGAGCACACGGCUCUGGGCUGAAACAGGAGACUCAGCAACCGGGUGA